Molecule: ribosomal RNA, 193 nt
Filed under: Candidatus Cryosericum septentrionale
Lineage: Bacteria; Pseudomonadati; Candidatus Cryosericota; Candidatus Cryosericia; Candidatus Cryosericales; Candidatus Cryosericaceae
Description: partial 23S ribosomal RNA
Rfam family: Bacterial large subunit ribosomal RNA
Source: RNAcentral
GCACGGAGCUGGGUAGCUAUGUCGACUUUGGAUAAGUGCUGAAGGCAUAUAAGCGCGAAGCCAACUCGAAGACGUGAUCUCUCAUCGUCGCAAGACGAGGUAGACCCCUGGUAGACUACCAGGUUGAUAGGCUGGAGGUGUAAGCGCAGCGAUGCGUUGAGCUGACCAGUACUAAUAGGUCGGGGACGUCAUU